RNAcentral lists this unclassified non-coding RNA (329 nucleotides) under soil metagenome. RNAcentral describes it as "partial contains 5.8S ribosomal RNA, internal transcribed spacer 2, and large subunit ribosomal RNA". The stretch from base 1 to 120 matches the Rfam family "5.8S ribosomal RNA", at positions 35 to 154 of the family's 154-position model. The record is from RNAcentral.
GAUGAAGAACGUAGCGAAAUGCGAUAAGUAGUGUGAAUUGCAGAAUUCAGUGAAUCAUCGAAUCUUUGAACGCACAUUGCGCCCCUUGGUAUCCCGAGGGGCAUGCCUGUUCGAGCGUCAUUUCACCACUCAAGCCUGGCUUGGUGUUGGGCGACGUCCUCUUUGGGGACGCGCCUCGAAACGCUCGGCGGCGUGGCAUCGGCUUUAAGCGUAGCAGAAUCUUUCGCUUUGGAAGUCGGGGCCCCGUCUGCCGGAAGACCUGCUCGCAAGGUUGACCUCGGAUCAGGCAGGGAUACCCGCUGAACUUAAGCAUAUCAAUAAGCGGAGGA